CAAGUCCUCUACGUGGUAAUGAAUAGCGAUCAGCCAUGACCCCAAGUAAUGCGUCGGCCCCUCGCAAGGUGGGCGGCGAAGCGUUUACAGGGGGCAUGCAGGCAUGGAAAUUGAGCUCCGAAAUCACCUGUUCCUAGUGCCGACCUAGUUGGGCGACGGGGAAGGCAAUACGGUCCGCCGCGAUAGCGCGAGUGGCGUUACCGACCUGCGGAGUCAUAGACCC
Molecule: non-coding RNA, 223 nt
Organism: Geobacteraceae bacterium GWC2_58_44
Lineage: Bacteria; Pseudomonadati; Thermodesulfobacteriota; Desulfuromonadia; Geobacterales; Geobacteraceae
Source: Rfam